This 489-nucleotide ribosomal RNA is filed under the name Variovorax paradoxus. RNAcentral describes it as "bacterial SSU rRNA". It matches the Rfam family "Bacterial small subunit ribosomal RNA", at positions 1 to 490 of the family's 1533-position model. The record is from RNAcentral. Lineage: Bacteria; Pseudomonadati; Pseudomonadota; Betaproteobacteria; Burkholderiales; Comamonadaceae.
UUAGAGUUUGAUCCUGGCUCAGAUUGAACGCUGGCGGCAUGCCUUACACAUGCAAGUCGAACGGCAGCGCGGGAGCAAUCCUGGCGGCGAGUGGCGAACGGGUGAGUAAUACAUCGGAACGUGCCCAAUCGUGGGGGAUAACGCAGCGAAAGCUGUGCUAAUACCGCAUACGAUCUACGGAUGAAAGCAGGGGAUCGCAAGACCUUGCGCGAAUGGAGCGGCCGAUGGCAGAUUAGGUAGUUGGUGAGGUAAAGGCUCACCAAGCCUUCGAUCUGUAGCUGGUCUGAGAGGACGACCAGCCACACUGGGACUGAGACACGGCCCAGACUCCUACGGGAGGCAGCAGUGGGGAAUUUUGGACAAUGGGCGCAAGCCUGAUCCAGCCAUGCCGCGUGCAGGAUGAAGGCCUUCGGGUUGUAAACUGCUUUUGUACGGAACGAAACGGCCUUUUCUAAUAAAGAGGGCUAAUGACGGUACCGUAAGAAUAAG